GCACAACGCGAAGAACCUUACCAAGGCUUGACAUGCAUCUCUAAGCGCGUGAAAGCGCGUGACCCUUCGGGGGAUUUGCACAGGUGCUGCAUGGCCGUCGUCAGCUCGUGUCGUGAGAUGUUGGGUUAAGUCCCGCAACGAGCGCAACCCUUGUGACUAGUUGCCAGCACGUUAUGGUGGGAACUCUAGUCAGACUGCCCAGAUCAACUGGGGAGGAAGGUGGGGACGACGUCAGGUCAGUAUGGCCCUUACGCCUUGGGCUGCACACGUACUACAAUGCCCAGUACAAUGAGAACCGAGACCGCGAGGUGGAAGAAAUCUAAAAAACUGGGCCCAGUUCGGAUUGGAGGCUGCAACUCGCCUCCAUGAAGUUGGAAUCGCUAGUAAUGGCGCAUCAUCUACGGCGCCGUGAAUACGUUCCCGGGUCUUGUACACACCG
Molecule: ribosomal RNA, 439 nt
Filed under: uncultured bacterium
Lineage: Bacteria
Description: bacterial SSU rRNA
Rfam family: Bacterial small subunit ribosomal RNA
Source: RNAcentral